UACAGAGGGUGCGAGCGUUGUUCGGAAUUAUUGGGCGUAAAGGGCGCGUAGGCGGUGCGGUAAGUCACCUGUGAAAUCUCCUGGCUCAACUGGGAGCUUGCAGGCGAAACUGCCGUGCUGGAGUGUGGGAGAGGUGCGUGGAAUUCCUGGUGUAGCGGUGAAAUGCGUAGAUAUCAGGAGGAACACCUGUGGCGAAAGCGGCGCACUGGACCACAACUGACGCUGAGGCGCGAAAGCUAGGGAGCAAACAGG
RNAcentral lists this ribosomal RNA (252 nucleotides) under uncultured bacterium. Its description in RNAcentral is "partial 16S ribosomal RNA". It matches the Rfam family "Bacterial small subunit ribosomal RNA", at positions 524 to 776 of the family's 1533-position model. The record is from RNAcentral.